Molecule: non-coding RNA, 84 nt
Organism: Achromobacter sp. DMS1
Lineage: Bacteria; Pseudomonadati; Pseudomonadota; Betaproteobacteria; Burkholderiales; Alcaligenaceae
Source: Rfam
CUGCUAUCCGCUAACCGGGAAGCCCGUGUCGCGGAAGGUUUUCUCCUGCAUCGUGUCGAGUGAAGCACUCGUAAAGGUGAAGCG